GUCUGCGGCCACGCCACCCUGAACACACCCGAUCCGGCUGAUCUCGGACGCUAAGCAGGGUCGGGCCUGGUGAGUACUUGGAUGGGAGACCACCUAGGAAGACCAGGUGCAGUAGGUG
This 118-nucleotide ribosomal RNA is filed under the name Pteropus alecto (black flying fox). Lineage: Eukaryota; Metazoa; Chordata; Mammalia; Chiroptera; Pteropodidae. The record is from RNAcentral.